GGAGUUGUGCCUGAAGUUUAAGGGCCACUUUGAUAGAGUGAAUUAUAAGGGUUAGAGUCCCUUCAACUCCU
Molecule: transfer RNA, 71 nt
Filed under: Pseudorhombus pentophthalmus (fivespot flounder)
Lineage: Eukaryota; Metazoa; Chordata; Actinopteri; Pleuronectiformes; Paralichthyidae
Description: tRNA-Ile
Rfam family: tRNA
About the family: Transfer RNA (tRNA) molecules are approximately 80 nucleotides in length. Their secondary structure includes four short double-helical elements and three loops (D, anti-codon, and T loops).
Source: RNAcentral